Hammondia hammondi is the source of this 112-nucleotide non-coding RNA. The record is from Rfam. NCBI's taxonomy places the organism in Eukaryota, Apicomplexa, Conoidasida, Eucoccidiorida, Sarcocystidae.
CAGCGCAGCGGUUACGACAGAACGCAUCAAUCUUUCGCCUUUUACUAAAGAUUGCCGUGUCGUCUCCGCAUCCAAUGCGUCUGUAUACCAAUUUUUGGGGCGCUUAGGCGCC